CUACUUUGCCCAGAGGAAAUCAAAAUGAAGCACAUGACAGUGACCCGAAAGGGAGAUGAAACUCCUCGACCUGUCCGCAUCCAUGAAAACUUCUUUAAAUGCCCCUUUUGUUCCCCUGAGCUAUACAAACCAGCUGGAUAUCCAAAAAUAGCAACACAUCUUGCCAGUCACAAGCUCAAAGCAAUCAAUCAUAAAGACUACAUUAUAUACAGCUGUGGAUUGGAUUGUGGUGGAAAGGCAAAACACUUUCAUUGUUGUUACUGCUCAAAGACGUAUAUAAAUAAACGGGAAAUGUUAAAGCACUUGGCUCUCC
Nematolebias whitei (Rio pearlfish) is the source of this 313-nucleotide long non-coding RNA. RefSeq lists it as uncharacterized. The record is from RefSeq and is a predicted model, not a curated record. The transcript is spliced from 3 exons. Lineage: Eukaryota; Metazoa; Chordata; Actinopteri; Cyprinodontiformes; Rivulidae.